This 1331-nucleotide long non-coding RNA is filed under the name Parus major (Great Tit). RNAcentral describes it as "lncRNA (ENSPMJG00000004764.1)". The record is from RNAcentral. Lineage: Eukaryota; Metazoa; Chordata; Aves; Passeriformes; Paridae.
CCCAACAGCUUUUGUGCCAUGGGGUGAUACCGAAGUGGCUGAGAACCCAAAAGCUCAAGCUGAGCUGUUGAGUGGGGUCUGCUGACACGGUGGUGGCUGUUGAUACCCAGCACUGCUGCUCUUGUGGCAUCCUGUGGGAAAAUGUGGGAUCUGUCCCCUCCCCAGACCCAGGGUGCUGCUCACCCUCCUGGAGCCAGUCAGGAGGUGACAGCCCCAUCCUCCCCUCUCCUCUCACCCAGGCUGUCAGAUCCAAGUCAGGGAGCUUGCAAAAAAACUCAGAGAAGAGUUCAGCUGCUCCAGCUACCAACUGCUGACAGUCCUGGAGGUUUCUGGUAACCUGUGUCCUGUGGAAGGGAAAGUAUUUUCUCUGAGAAGUUGUUUUUUUUUUAAUUCUGCAGUCUGCAGGGUAGUGAAACAUGUUUGGCACUGGGGCUUCCCACUACAGUCUGAAUUCCAGGCAGUAGUUUCACUAGAGAAACCCUGUGAAGACUCUGGAGUUAGGCACUAUUUCUGGAAGUUCUCCUCAUCAAACAAGCUAAAAAUAACAAUAAAUGCCCCAAGUUUUUUGGCAGGGGGGCAGCAACCAGGGCCCAUCAUGCCUAGUUCCCAUCUACACAGCUCUGGAGUAAAGGUCUACAUGGAGUUAUUUGCUUUCUUCUCAUCCACACUCCUGAUGUCUGUGAGCAGCAGUGGUUUUAAUCAGCAAUUUAUGUGCUUUUUGUAUUUAGAGCAAACACAGAGACAUUGAUUUGCCCCAUGUGUACCACUUUCUUGGUGUGACUUGAAGUUUUGAAGUCUCUAAUUUUCUUCCCAGCUGAGCUGGGAAUCUGCUUUGUGCUACCACCACACAGCCAAUUCCAGACAGGGGUGGGCAAAACCCCAGUAUUCUGGAGAAAUAGCUGCAAUGUAGGAAAGAAACCCAGGAGGUGAAACAGGUAUUCUAAGAAAAUGUCAGCUGAAUGGGUGGUCUUGAGCAGCAAAACAACUUUAAGGCUUUGCUGGGAGAGAUACCAAUGUGCUGUCCCAUAAAUGUGGGGUGAGUCUUCACCAGGUUCCCAUCUCUCCUUUGCCCAAAAGUUGCUGCUGAGUUGCUGCAGAGAAGGGUGACAGGCAGGAUCAAAGGUAUGGAACAGCUCUUGUGUGGGAAUGGAUUUAAUAGAGGGGACUCUUCUGCCUGUGGGGCAGAUAAAGUGAAGGAGAAUGUGAUAGAGGGCUAUAAAAUCAUGACUGGGCUGGAAAAAAAUUAAUCAGAAGGAGACUCUGGCUCCUCUGAUCCAAGAACUAGGGAGGUGUCAAAUAAACCAGCAAAUGGCAUGUGGGAUAGAAAUAAA